Molecule: long non-coding RNA, 311 nt
Filed under: Struthio camelus australis
Lineage: Eukaryota; Metazoa; Chordata; Aves; Struthioniformes; Struthionidae
Description: lncRNA (ENSSCUG00000016022.1)
Source: RNAcentral
GGCUUAUUGGGUAGAGAUUUUAAGGAAAAGACUGAAAAGACUGCAUGUUUCGACAAUGCGUGGAAAAGGUUGGUGGAUAUUACAGAUUGUUCCCACUUUCCAUCUUCCCAUAAUAUAAAGCAAGAUCCUUCCUCAUGCGAAAUCAUCUGAACUUAGGGAGGAAGGUGAGCUCGAAUGAGCUCUGGGAAGAUGCAGGUAUUGCUGAAGACUGAAUCUCAGGGAGCUGCCAGAGGAAAACCACAGUUCAGGCGACCCAAGGAACCAUCUGCUGCCUUGAUUGCAGAAGCCGUAUCCUGACACGUGCCAGCAGG